Molecule: long non-coding RNA, 744 nt
Filed under: Sorghum bicolor (sorghum)
Lineage: Eukaryota; Viridiplantae; Streptophyta; Magnoliopsida; Poales; Poaceae
Description: long non-coding RNA (SBIC_LNC009584)
Source: RNAcentral
GAGUAUAUGUGCAUACAUUCACUUAUGAGAGAUAGAAAACAAGAGUAUGUAUUUAACUAUUUUUUAUUAGAAUAAAAUAAAAUAUUUGUAUAUGAUGAUUGGAGCACAUGCAGUACGAGUUCAUACAUGUUCUACGGAAAAAGUCAUAAUUAUGAACCUAGCUUGAAAUAAACAAAAUUUAAGUCAGACGCGAUCGAUCCAUAAGAUGAGAGAAACGCCCGUCUCCAGAAGCAAGUCAGGCGUGAUCUAUCAGAUGAGACAAACGCCGUCUCCAGAACGAGAUGAUGGGAUCAAUCUGCACAUUUCAGCCUGUAUAGAACAGAGAGCACCAUGAUCACUGAUCUCUGCAGCCUUUUGAAACGGUGGUGGACAAAAAAAAAUUAUUAACUCUAGAAGAAUCUCAGGAAUCCAAUUUCUACAAAUCAAUAGUUCAAUACACGGAUUCCUACCUCUCAUCGCUCCCUGAUCUUAUCCGAAGAGGGACCAUCUCGCCGCUCCCUGAUCUGAAAAGACCAAGGAACUUGACGCCAGGGCUCGCCUGAUGCUAAAAACUAUAAAUAAUUAAUAUACUACACGUUCAUAGGCCGAUCUCUUGCCGUGAUCCUCCAAGAUGAGAUGGGAAUGAAUGCAAAACGAAGGAAGCGGGACCUAGUGAGCCAACGAGACGAUGCCGCCGGCGACGGUGAAUGUUGUAUUGCUUCCAGACGCCCUAAAAACUGUCAGAUUUUCUAAUAUAUACAGAGG